Molecule: microRNA precursor, 81 nt
Filed under: Jaculus jaculus (lesser Egyptian jerboa)
Lineage: Eukaryota; Metazoa; Chordata; Mammalia; Rodentia; Dipodidae
Description: miRNA (ENSJJAG00000003030.1)
Source: RNAcentral
CUACUAAGUCAUCACUCCAGCCCAAAUAAGUUUAUUUUUUAAAAAAAGAAAUGUCUGGGGCUGGAGAGAUGGCUUAGCAGU